Molecule: transfer RNA, 68 nt
Filed under: Chodsigoa smithii (Smith's shrew)
Lineage: Eukaryota; Metazoa; Chordata; Mammalia; Eulipotyphla; Soricidae
Description: tRNA-Arg
Rfam family: tRNA
About the family: Transfer RNA (tRNA) molecules are approximately 80 nucleotides in length. Their secondary structure includes four short double-helical elements and three loops (D, anti-codon, and T loops).
Source: RNAcentral
UAGUAAUUAGUUUAAAUAAAAUAAAUGAUUUCGACUCAUUAGAUUGUGAUUAUUCUCACAAUUACUAA